RNAcentral lists this unclassified non-coding RNA (253 nucleotides) under uncultured Enterobacteriaceae bacterium. Its description in RNAcentral is "contains 16S-23S intergenic spacer region". It matches the Rfam family "Bacterial small subunit ribosomal RNA", at positions 524 to 776 of the family's 1533-position model. Lineage: Bacteria; Pseudomonadati; Pseudomonadota; Gammaproteobacteria; Enterobacterales; Enterobacteriaceae. The record is from RNAcentral.
UACGGAGGGUGCAAGCGUUAAUCGGAAUUACUGGGCGUAAAGCGCGCGCAGGCGGUCCCUUAAGUCUGAUGUGAAAGCCCACGGCUCAACCUGGGAACUGCAUCCGAAACUGGCAGGCUAGAGUCUUGUAGAGGGGGGUAGAAUUCCAGGUGUAGCGGUGAAAUGCGUAGAGAUCUGGAGGAAUACCGGUGGCGAAGGCGGCCCCCUGGACAAAGACUGACGCUCAGGUGCGAAAGCGUGGGGAGCAAACAGG